Engraulis encrasicolus (European anchovy) is the source of this 1355-nucleotide long non-coding RNA. RefSeq lists it as uncharacterized. NCBI's taxonomy places the organism in Eukaryota, Metazoa, Chordata, Actinopteri, Clupeiformes, Engraulidae. The transcript is spliced from 2 exons. The record is from RefSeq and is a predicted model, not a curated record.
AUUUCCUGCACAGUGUCCCUUUAAAGGAAAAUCCCUACUAGUUUCAACAUCCAAUUAUAUUGUUCUCACUACCACUGGUUUGUCAGGACCCAACAACGCAGUUCAGGAUAAAUGUGUAUGUCAACUGUAUUGUAGGCCUAUGACUUUAACAAUACAAUCACAAUAACUGCUUAUUUUUUGGCUGUAGGACACAAGUAAAAGGAGAAGAAUGCUGCUCAGCUGGGUCGGCGGCCACACUACUUAUUCAAGAAGCCCUUGGAUAUCAUCAGCAUGUAUGAAACUUGUGGUGAGAUGCCAAGAGCUGCCAUGAGGGAUAUGCAACCUGCAGCUUCACCGUGCUUUUGGGAGGUCAUCUACUACGUGAACCUUAAUAUCUACAAGCCAGCUACUUUAAAUCCUUGAAAGGGUAGUGAUGUCAAUCAAACCAGAUCACGAGACAAGGUCCUGAGGUACAAACUGUCAAUAUAAUUGUGACAUCCCUGUCAGUUCUUUUGGACUGGAUACAUGCUGUGUUUGAAAUGUAUUAUUUGGAUAACCACCCAUCAGGGAAUAGACCUGCCAUGGACAUGUAGUGCACACUUUGAUGUUUUUUUAUUUUAACGUUUUCUAUGUUUUUUCAAUGUUUUUUUAUUUAUGUUCUGUUAUAUGCUGGUUAUGUAAGUACUGUAUGGAAUGUAGUGACUGUAGAGACCAAGACAAAUUUCAACCUGGGGACAAAAAAGUUCACUCCACUCUGUUAGCGCAGUUAUGGAUGCACUGUAAAUUUUGUAAUUAACAAAAAGUACGGUGAGAAGCCUGUUUGUGCAGAUGGACCUGCUGGCGGGUCUGUUUACUCAUAGCUAAAAAGCAACAUAUUCUCUGUGCAAAGCACAUGGGCUCUUCGCAAAGGGGUUAAACAUUUUAAUGUGCUGUUUUACAGUGUGCUAUACAAAAGGUAAGGUGAAACUAAAUUUUUGAAUUUCUAUAAUUGUACAGUGUCACUGAAAUCAAAUGGUACAUUGGUAAAACAGAACCAUUUCCUUUAACCCCUUUUAGCAGACCCUAUGUUUUAACUUUACUGUCACCAAUAUUGUAAUGACUGAGUUUUAACCUGUUACUUAAAGCUCUUGGUAAUGUCAUAGCAAUGUUGCUGUGAUGUAGUUGAGUCUUUUCGGUCAUGAGUGAUCAUGCUGAUAACCCAUCUUUGCAAAGAGGCUAAAAAGAUGCAUGUAAAUUCAAUUAAGGUUUUAUUGCUUCAAUGCUAUGAUGUGUUAAUGCUACACUGCUGUGAUUUGCAUCUUUAUAGUAUACUUUUAUGAAAUGUAUUGUUAAUUAUCUACAUUGUUCAGCAAUAAAAAAAGAGAUCUGAAAUAUUA